Herpailurus yagouaroundi (jaguarundi) is the source of this 2929-nucleotide long non-coding RNA. RefSeq lists it as uncharacterized. The transcript is spliced from 2 exons. The record is from RefSeq and is a predicted model, not a curated record. NCBI's taxonomy places the organism in Eukaryota, Metazoa, Chordata, Mammalia, Carnivora, Felidae.
UGUAGGUCUUCUUUGGAGAAAUGUCUAUUCAUGUCUUCUGCCCAUUUUAUUAUUAUCAUUAUUAUUAUUUUGGUGUUGAGUUGUGUUAAGUUUUUUAUGGCUUCAGACAAAAGUUUUUAUUAAUAAGUCUUGGCUGCCCUACUUAAUAAGAUCUGAAUUAUCAUAAACAAAUGUACAUUUCUCAUAGUUUAGAAAUAAAUUUUUUUUUACCACAAAGUCCUUUUAAAGACCUAUGUUCUUUCCAGAGCUCAUGAUAAUCAAGGACAUAGAAUAUAUUUCACUGAAGACUAUGAGUGCCACCAUGGAAAGAGUAUAUACCUUAUAUAUACCUUAAGUAUAUAUAAAUAUACCUUGAAGAUAUUACAGGUUCAUACCACUGCAAUAAAGAAAAUAGUGCAAUAAAGGGAAUCAUAUUAAUUUUUUGGUUCCCCAAUACAUAUAUAGUUUAAACUAUACUGUAGUAUAUUAAGUGUAUAGUAGCAUUAUGUCUAAAAAAAAUAUACAUGUCUUAAUUAAAAACAUUGCUAAGAAAUGCUAGUCAUCAUUUGAGAGUUCAGUGAGUCAUAAUCUUUUUUGUUGGUGGAGAAUCGUGUUUUGAUGUUGAUGGCUGCUGAUUGAUCAGGACGGUUGUUGCUAAAGGCUGGGAUCACUGUGGCAAUUUCUUAAAAUAAGACAAAUGAAGUUUGCUGCAUUGAUUGACUCUUCCUUUCAUGAAUGAUUUCUCUGUAGCACACAAUGCUUUUUGAUAGCAUUAUACCCAUGGUAGAACCACUUUCAAAAUUGGAGCCAAUCCUCUCAAACCUUACUGCUGCUUUAUCAACCAACUUGAUGCAGUACUCUAAAUCCUUUGUUGUCAUUCCAACAGUCUUGAUAGCAUCUUCAUCAGGAGUACAUUCCAUCUCAAGAAACCAUUUUCUUUGCUCAUAUGUAAGAAGCAACUCCUCAUGUGUUCAAAUUUUCUUAUGAGAUUGCAGCAAUUCAGUCACAUCUUCAGGCAUCACUUCUAAUUCUAGUUCUCCUGCUGUUUCCACCAUAUCAACAGCGACCCUCUACUGAAGUCCUGACCCCCUCACAGUCAUCACGAGAGCUAGAACCAACUUCUUCUAAACUUCUGUGAAUGUUGAUGUUUUGACCUCUUCCCAUGAAUUAUGAAUGUUCUUAAUGGCAUCUAGAAUGGUGAAAUCUUUUCAGAUGGUUUUCAAUGUACUUUGCCCAGAUUCAUCAGAGGAAUCACUGUCUAUUGCAACUAGACCAUUAUGAAAUUUAUUUCUUAAAAUAAUAAGACUUGAAAGCUGAACCUACUCCUUGAUCUGUAGGCUUUAGAAUGGAUGUUGUGUUAACAGACGUGAAAACUAUAUGAAUUUUGUUGUACAUCUCCAUCAGAGCUCAUGGGUAAGCAAGUGCAUUGUGAGCAGUAUUUUGAAAGUAAUCUUUUUUUCUUCCUGAGCAGUAGCUCUCAGCAAAAGGCUGAAAAUAUUCAGUAAACCACGUGGUAAACAGAUGGUGCGAUCAUCCAGGCUUUGUUGUUCCAUUUAUAGAACACCGGCAGAAUAGAUUUAUUCUUAAGGGCCCUAGGAUUUCAGGAUGGUAAAUGAGCAUUGACUUCAAUUUAGAGUCAUCAGCUGCAGUAGCCUCUAAUGAGAGAAUCAGUCUGUCUUUGGAAGCUUUGAAGCCAGGCACUGACUUGUCCUUUCUAGCUAUGAAAGUCCUAAAUAACAUCUUCUUUCAAUUUAAAGCUGUUUAAUCCACAUUGGAAACCUGUGGUUUAGUGUAGCCACCUUCAUCAAUUAUCUCAGCUAGAUCUUCUGGAUAACUUGCUGCCACUCCUACAUCAGCACUUGCUGCUUCACUUUGCACUUUUGUGUUAUGGGGAUGGCUUCAUUCCUUAAAUCUCAGGAACCAACCUCCGCUAGCUUUAAACUUUUCUUCUGCAGCUCCCCCACCUCUCUCAGUCUUCAUGAAACUGCAUAGAGACUUUCUCUUGGUUAGACUUUGAAGAGAAUGUUUUUGCUGGUUUGAUCUUCUAAACAGACCGUUAAAACUUUUUCCAUUAUCAGCAAUAUGGCUGUUUUGAUUUCUUAUCACUGGUGUAGUCAUUAAAGGUGCAUUUUUAAUUUCCUUCAAGAACUUCCCCUUUGCAUUCACAAGUUGGCUCACUGUUUCUGUGCAAGAGGCCUAGCUGUCAGCCUGUCUCCUCUUUCCACCUCCCUUCCUCACUUCUUUCCACAUUCCUUCCUUCAUCAUUUCAAGCUUUUGAUUUAAAUUGAGAGAAUAGCGACUGUUCCUUUCACUUGAACACUUAGAUGCUAUUGCAGGGCUAUCAUUGGCCUAAUUUUAAUACUGUUGUGUUUCGGGGGAACAGGGAGACCUGAGGAGGAGGUGACAGAGAGACAGGGAACAGCUGGUUGGUGGAGCAGUCAUCACACACACAACAUUUAUUAAGUUUACCAUCUUAUAUGGGCACAGUUCGUGGCUCCACAAAACAAUUACAGUAGUAACAACAAAGAACACUGAUCACAGAUGACCAUAAGAAGUAUAAUAAUAGUGAAAAAGUUUGAAACAUUGCGAGAAUUACUAAAAUGUGAUGGAGACAUGAAGUGAGCCAAUGCUGUUGAAAAAAUGGCGCCUAUAGACUUGCUCCAUGCGGUGUUGUCACAAACUUUCAGUUUGUAAAAAACACAGUAUGGCACAAAAAACCACAAACUGCAAUAAAGGAAGUACAAUAAAGCAGGUACGCCUGCAGUUUUGAAGUGAAAAAAAGCAAGAUGCCCUCACAGAAUGUAUUUGGCUGUCUUCAAAAGGAGAAGUCAGGUUUAAAUAACAGGAGUUCAUACCCUUGUUAGACCUUUUUAAUUCUGAACGAAGUGCACAUGUGACCUUUUCUGAAAUAAAUAAAAAUAAUGCAUUGUCAAACAAACUGAAACAAAAC